This 326-nucleotide ribosomal RNA is filed under the name Khorata khammouan. RNAcentral's name for it is "partial 12S ribosomal RNA". The record is from RNAcentral. Lineage: Eukaryota; Metazoa; Arthropoda; Arachnida; Araneae; Pholcidae.
UUUUAAUUAUAAUGGUAGUACUUAAAUAAAAAACCAAUAUAUAAUGGCGGUCUUAAUAAAUUAGAGAAACUCGCUUUAUAAUCGACAACACCCGUUAAUUCUAACUCAUUUUAAGUAAGCCUAUAUACCGCCGUUUAGAGUUUUUACAAAAGACAACAUCAAAAUUUAAAUAAUACAUAAAAUCAGGUCAAGGUGUAGCCAAUAAAAGAGACAAAGUAAGUUACAUUAAAAACAAUUUAAGGAUAAAAAACCAAACGUUAAUUGGAAAAAGAAUUUAUUUGUACAUUAAAAUUAAAAAAAUUAAUAGAAAUAAAAAAUUAAGAUGU